Dermacentor silvarum is the source of this 156-nucleotide small nucleolar RNA. RefSeq annotates it as small nucleolar RNA SNORA57. The record is from RefSeq and is a predicted model, not a curated record. The transcript has a single exon. Lineage: Eukaryota; Metazoa; Arthropoda; Arachnida; Ixodida; Ixodidae.
CCUCUGUCUUGGCGGGUCUUCUUGUUGUCAAAGAAGUUCCGAAUGCUUACAGAGGGAUAUAAAAGGAUGUUGGGUCUCUUGCCUUCGGUGCCUGCUCCCCAUUAGCCCCCUUGGGAAUGGAUUGAGCAGGUCCCAUCCUCGACGGGCCCUACAAGC